AUGACUAGGGAUAACCUUAGGAAGAGACACAUCAUCAAACCCCUUGAUUGUGUUUACUGCUUGGAACAAGAGUCUUGUUCUCACCUAUUUUUUGAAUGUAUAGUUGCUAAACAUCUCUGGGCCCACAUUGAGGAAUAUUUCUCUAGUCAGAUUGGCUCAUCCUUCGAAUCUGUCGCCAGAUUCUGGAUUGCUACCAAAAGUGCUGUUUUAAACACUGUUAGCUCAGUUGUCCUUUGGUGCCUCUGGAAAUAUAGAAAUGCUAUGAUUUUCAGUAACACCUCCUGGAUUUCCAUUCCGCAGGUCUUGAGGUUGAUCAGGAACAUGGUGAGGAACUGGGCGAUUCUCUCCUCCGGAUCGGACAAGGACAAGUUGAUGAGCUUCGUGGAAACCCUAACAAGAUCCCUCCAGAAACCGUUGGCGAUCACUUGUGGCUGA
This 435-nucleotide ribosomal RNA is filed under the name Triticum aestivum (bread wheat). RNAcentral's name for it is "partial small subunit ribosomal RNA". Lineage: Eukaryota; Viridiplantae; Streptophyta; Magnoliopsida; Poales; Poaceae. The record is from RNAcentral.